CAGUCGCCGCGGUAAUACGAGGGGGGCAAGCGUUGUUCGGAAUUAUUGGGCGUAAAGGGCGCGUAGGCGGUUUGGCAAGUUUGGUGUGAAAUCUUCGGGCUCAACUCGAAGUCUGCAUCGAAAACUGCCGGGCUUGAGUGUGGGAGAGGUGAGUGGAAUUUCCGGUGUAGCGGUGAAAUGCGUAGAUAUCGGAAGGAACACCUGUGGCGAAAGCGGCUCACUGGACCACAACUGACGCUGAGGCGCGAAAGCUAGGGGAGCAAACAGGAUUAGAUACCCGGGUAGUCCCUGUCUCUUAUAC
Molecule: ribosomal RNA, 301 nt
Filed under: uncultured bacterium
Lineage: Bacteria
Description: partial 16S ribosomal RNA
Rfam family: Bacterial small subunit ribosomal RNA
Source: RNAcentral